AUUGAACGCUGGCGGCAGGCCUAACACAUGCAAGUCGAGCGGUAGAGAGAAGCUUGCUUCUCUUGAGAGCGGCGGACGGGUGAGUAAUGCCUAGGAAUCUGCCUGGUAGUGGGGGAUAACGUUCGGAAACGGACGCUAAUACCGCAUACGUCCUACGGGAGAAAGCAGGGGACCUUCGGGCCUUGCGCUAUCAGAUGAGCCUAGGUCGGAUUAGCUAGUUGGUGGGGUAAUGGCUCACCAAGGCGACGAUCCGUAACUGGUCUGAGAGGAUGAUCAGUCACACUGGAACUGAGACACGGUCCAGGCUCCUACGGGAGGCAGCAGUGGGGAAUAUUGGACAAUGGGCGAAAUCCUGAUCCAGCCAUGCCGCGUGUGUGAAGAAAGUCUUCGGAUUGUAAAGCACUUUAAGUUGGGAGGAAGGGCAGUAAAUUAAUACUUUGCUGUUUUGACGUUACCGACAGAAUAAGCACCGGCUAACUCUGUG
This 484-nucleotide ribosomal RNA is filed under the name uncultured bacterium. RNAcentral's name for it is "partial 16S ribosomal RNA". It matches the Rfam family "Bacterial small subunit ribosomal RNA", at positions 30 to 507 of the family's 1533-position model. The record is from RNAcentral.